This 1309-nucleotide ribosomal RNA is filed under the name metagenome. RNAcentral describes it as "bacterial LSU rRNA". It matches the Rfam family "Bacterial large subunit ribosomal RNA", at positions 1592 to 2925 of the family's 2925-position model. The record is from RNAcentral.
CUGUGUGAGCCGGCUGCCGAGAAAAGCCGCUAUUGUUUGUACUGUACCCGUACCGUAAACCGACACAGGUGGAUGAGGAGAGAAUCCUAAGGCCGACGGAAGAAGCAUUGCUAAGGAACUCGGCAAAAUGACCCUGUAACUUCGGGAGAAAGGGUGCCUCGAAAGAGGCCGCAGAGAAUAGGCCCAAGCAACUGUUUAGCAAAAACACAGGACUAUGCAAAACCGCAAGGUGAAGUAUAUGGGCUGACGCCUGCCCGGUGCUGGAAGGUUAAGGGGAGAUGUCAGGAGACGAAGCAUCGAACUUAAGCCCCAGUAAACGGCGGCCGUAACAAUAACGGUCCUAAGGUAGCGAAAUUCCUUGUCGGGUAAGUUCCGACCCGCACGAAAGGCGUAAUGAUUUGGGCGCUGUCUCGGCAAUGCAUCCGGUGAAAUUGAAGUGCCAGUGAAGAUGCUGGCUACCCGCGCCAGGACGGAAAGACCCCAUGGAGCUUUACUCCAGCUUGAUACUGGGAUUCGGUAUUGUAUGUACAGGAUAGGUGGGAGGCUGAGAAAUGGUGACGCCAGUCGCCAUGGAGCCGCUGUUGGGAUACCACCCUUGCAGUACUGGAUUUCUGACCAGCAGCCGUGAUCCGGCUGGGGGACAAUGUCAGGUGGGGAGUUUGACUGCGGCGGUCGCCUCCGAAAGGGUAUCGGAGGCGCUCAAAGGUUCCCUCAGAAUGGUCGGAAACCAUUCGAAGAGUGCAAAGGCAGAAGGGAGCUUGACUGCGACACCGACGGGUGGGGCAGGUACGAAAGUAGGACUUAGUGAUCCGGUGGUAUUAAGUGGGAAUGCCAUCGCUCAACGGAUAAAAGCUACCCUGGGAUAACAGGCUUAUCACUCCCAAGAGUUCACAUCGACGGAGUGGUUUGGCACCUCGAUGUCGGCUCAUCGCAUCCUGGGGCUGUAGUAGGUCCCAAGGGUUGGGCUGUUCGCCCAUUAAAGCGGUACGCGAGCUGGGUUCAGAACGUCGUGAGACAGUUCGGUCCCUAUCCGGCGUGGGCGUAGGAUAUUUGAGAGGAGCUGACCUUAGUACGAGAGGACCGGGUUGGACUGACCUCUGGUGCACCGGUUGUCAUGCCAAUGGCACAGCCGGGUAGCCAAGUCGGGAAGGGAUAAACGCUGAAGGCAUCUAAGCGUGAAGCCCCCCUCAAGAUGAGAUAUCCCCCGCAUAAGCGGUAAGACCCCUUGAAGACGACGAGGUAGAUAGGGCAGAGGUGGAAGUGCAGUAAUGUAUGGAGCUGACUGCUACUAAUAGGUCGAAGGCUUAUC